This 255-nucleotide long non-coding RNA is filed under the name Fukomys damarensis (Damara mole-rat). RNAcentral's name for it is "lncRNA (ENSFDAG00000028895.1)". Lineage: Eukaryota; Metazoa; Chordata; Mammalia; Rodentia; Bathyergidae. The record is from RNAcentral.
CUGGGGCCCCGUGUGGGGAAACACCUGGUGCCUGGGUGCUGCAGAACACUAGCAUUGUGCAUUCAUAGUGGAGCACUGACUAAUAUUAAACCCAAAGCAUUUGGAGGUAUUAUUUGCAGUUUGUUUGGAGGCUCGGUAUGAGGAGGACUAGAGAUGAACAGUGAGGAGAAAUCCCUGAAGCUUAAAAUGUGCUCCAAGGAUGUGAUAGGAACGCAGCUGGAUUUGGAGUCUGAUGGCAUGGACUGGGGCCUCAAG